GACGAACGCUGGCGGCGUGCCUAAUACAUGCAAGUCGAGCGAGCUUGCCUAGAUGAAUUUGGUGCUUGCACCAAAUGAAACUAGAUACAAGCGAGCGGCGGACGGGUGAGUAACACGUGGGUAACCUGCCCAAGAGACUGGGAUAACACCUGGAAACAGAUGCUAAUACCGGAUAACAACACUAGACGCAUGUCUAGAGUUUAAAAGAUGGUUCUGCUAUCACUCUUGGAUGGACCUGCGGUGCAUUAGCUAGUUGGUAAGGUGACGGCUUAUCAAGGCAAUGAUGCAUAGCCGAGUUGAGAGACUGAUCGGCCACAUUGGGACUGAGACACGGCCCAAACUCCUACGGGAGGCAGCAGUAGGGAAUCUUCCACAAUGGACGCAAGUCUGAUGGAGCAACGCCGCGUGAGUGAAGAAGGGUUUCGGCUCGUAAAGCUCUGUUGGUAGUGAAGAAAGAUAGUGGUAGUAACUGGCCUUUAUUUGACGGUAAUUACUUAGAAAGUCACGGCUAACUACGUGCCAGCAGCCGCGGUAAUACGUAGGUGGCAAGCGUUGUCCGGAUUUAUUGGGCGUAAAGCGAGUGCAGGCGGUUCAAUAAGUCUGAUGUGAAAGCCUUCGGCUCAACCGGAGAAUUGCAUCAGAAACUGUUGAACUUGAGUGCAGAAGAGGAGAGUGGAACUCCAUGUGUAGCGGUGGAAUGCGUAGAUAUAUGGAAGAACACCAGUGGCGAAGGCGGCUCUCUGGUCUGCAACUGACGCUGAGGCUCGAAAGCAUGGGUAGCGAACAGG
Molecule: ribosomal RNA, 788 nt
Filed under: uncultured Lactobacillus sp.
Lineage: Bacteria; Bacillati; Bacillota; Bacilli; Lactobacillales; Lactobacillaceae
Description: bacterial SSU rRNA
Rfam family: Bacterial small subunit ribosomal RNA
Source: RNAcentral